GACUGUGUGAAGACUGCCUCUGGAGGAUCGGAGGACUGUCAGACUACAGGGUUGAUUGUGAUUUGUGGUUUAAAAGGAGUGGUUAAUCAUUUGGUCAUUUGUACAUAUAUUUUUGCAUAUGAAGCAUUUUGUUCCAUGAUUUGCUUAAAUGAAAAUUGCUGAAUAAGCUAAAAGCUGAUGCCAAAUAAAUCACAACAUUUACAUAUGAAUCAUUUUGCAGACGCUCUUAUCCAGAGCGAUUUAGAGGAGCAAUUAGGGUUAAGUGCCUUGCUCGAGGGCACAUCGACAGAUUUUUUUCACCUAGUUAACGCAAAGAUUCAAACCAGUGACCUUUCGGUUUCUGGCUCAGUGCUCUAAUCGCUAGGCUAGCUGCCACAUUACUACAUUCUGUCAGAUCUUUCACUUCCCUUAUUGUGAUUUUGUUUUCUGAUGCUUUAAUUUUGACCAGAUAAUUUUGUUUUUCUAUGACAAAAACAUUCUAGAGGUGUUGUGAUACUACUUGAAACUGUGAUACCUGAGCUGGUACCAUGACAACAGUACAACCAAUCAUCCUUCUACUCUAAGCCAAUAAUAAGUGUUCUGAAACUUGUAAAUUGCAAGUUAGAGACGCCCCCCCCCCCCCCCCACCCAAAUGAAGGAAGUGUGAAUCACAAGGCUGGUCUCGGAACAAUACAGUAAAAGACCUGUCAACUCCAGUUGCCUUUUUUUGGUUGGUGACUAGGAUGUGUGCGAACAGCUGCACAGCCUCAGUGAGUACUUGACUGAAGAUGAAGAUUCUCUUUCUCUUGAUUCUUCUGUUAGAUGUCCCUGAGAUGGAAGCACAACAGAGGAUGGUGGUGAAUGGACAAGUGUUGCUGAGAUUUGUCUUUCCUCCUUUCUACAAUGGUUAUGAGAAGUUCUGUUCUAAACUAUAUCCUUGGGGAGUUUCUGUUAUUGUGAAUACCAGGGGAUAUGUCAACGACUUCUACGAGGGAAGAGUAUCCACAACCGAAUACAACGGUGGAAUGGACGUUGUGAUAUGGAAUUUAAAGCCAGUGGACACUGGCAACUACAGGUGUGCUAUUGUCACCAUUGGAUGGAAUCAUAUCUACAAAGACUAUAACCUCCAGAUUGAUAGUGGUCGACGUAGCGGUCCAGUAUCCCCUCGACCUCCGGUCAGGUCAACCAUCAGCCCCUUCAUCUUCUCUUCCUCAUCAGACACCUCUGGGCCUGUUUUCACCAAGGACCACAGUGACAGCCCCAGUGUUCCCUGGAGCUUUGGUUUACCACUAGCUGCAGGUCUUUGCAUCGCUAUGGUGAUUGUGAUCAGCUCAGUAGUCCUUGUUGUGGUUCAUCACAAAAUCAUCACGAAAAAGAAAUGUGGAGCAACUUCCAGUGACUCAGCUGCACACAUCCUCUCAGAUGUCCUUCAGGAGGAGAACAGUAUUGUCUACACCACAGUGGACUUCAAGCCUCAUGAGAACCAUACCACUGAGCUGUAUGCUAACCUACAGACACUCCGCAGCCCCAGAAGCACCGACUCACACAGAGAGCCUGCUGGAACAGUGGUGUACUCCACACUGGCUAGCAACCAACGCUGA
Molecule: long non-coding RNA, 1580 nt
Filed under: Oncorhynchus mykiss (rainbow trout)
Lineage: Eukaryota; Metazoa; Chordata; Actinopteri; Salmoniformes; Salmonidae
Description: lncRNA (ENSOMYG00000008018.2)
Source: RNAcentral